This 649-nucleotide ribosomal RNA is filed under the name uncultured Bacilli bacterium. RNAcentral's name for it is "bacterial SSU rRNA". It matches the Rfam family "Bacterial small subunit ribosomal RNA", at positions 61 to 693 of the family's 1533-position model. The record is from RNAcentral. Lineage: Bacteria; Bacillati; Bacillota; Bacilli.
GUAGAACGCUGAAGCUUGGUGCUUGCACCGAGCGGAUGAGUUGCGAACGGGUGAGUAACGCGUAGGUAACCUGCCUCUUAGCGGGGGAUAACUAUUGGAAACGAUAGCUAAUACCGCAUAAAAGUCGAUAUCGCAUGAUAUUGAUUUGAAAGGUGCAAUUGCAUCACUAAGAGAUGGACCUGCGUUGUAUUAGCUAGUUGGUGAGGUAACGGCUCACCAAGGCGACGAUACAUAGCCGACCUGAGAGGGUGAUCGGCCACACUGGGACUGAGACACGGCCCAGACUCCUACGGGAGGCAGCAGUAGGGAAUCUUCGGCAAUGGGGGCAACCCUGACCGAGCAACGCCGCGUGAGUGAAGAAGGUUUUCGGAUCGUAAAGCUCUGUUGUAAGAGAAGAACGAGUGUGAGAGUGGAAAGUUCACACUGUGACGGUAACUUACCAGAAAGGGACGGCUAACUACGUGCCAGCAGCCGCGGUAAUACGUAGGUCCCGAGCGUUAUCCGGAUUUAUUGGGCGUAAAGCGAGCGCAGGCGGUUAGAUAAGUCUGAAGUUAAAGGCUGUGGCUUAACCAUAGUACGCUUUGGAAACUGUUUAACUUGAGUGCAGAAGGGGAGAGUGGAAUUCCAUGUGUAGCGGUGAAAUGCGUAG